Molecule: ribosomal RNA, 228 nt
Filed under: uncultured bacterium
Lineage: Bacteria
Description: partial 16S ribosomal RNA
Rfam family: Bacterial small subunit ribosomal RNA
Source: RNAcentral
UACGUAGGGUGCGAGCGUUAAUCGGAAUUACUGGGCGUAAAGCGUGCGCAGGCGGUUUUGUAAGUCUGACGUGAAAUCCCCGGGCUUAACCUGGGAAUUGCGUUGGAGACUGCAAGGCUGGAGUCUGGCAGAGGGGGGUAGAAUUCCACGUGUAGCAGUGAAAUGCGUAGAGAUGUGGAGGAACACCGAUGGCGAAGGCAGCCCCCUGGGUCAAGACUGACGCUCAUG